GGUUGGUAAACAGCAUUGACGAGGCUGGGAGUUAUAAUCCAACUGUAAACAAUGUUUCAAGUUACGAAAAAAGGAGUUCCUUGAAUCGGAAAAAAUGCAAAAGGUAAAUGCAGAAUUUUUACCAAAACAGAAAAUGGAUAGAAAAUAAGCAGAUUCGAAGAUGCUGAUUUUAUGGUAUGGAAUGCUCACCCAAAGCUGCAGUUGCAUUAUACAAUAGGAUAUUCACAAUUGAAGACAUUAUCACAGCAUAAGCGCCGAAGUUAAGACCAGACAAGUAGUAAAUC
This is a long non-coding RNA of Planococcus citri (citrus mealybug), 284 nucleotides long. RefSeq lists it as uncharacterized. The record is from RefSeq and is a predicted model, not a curated record. NCBI's taxonomy places the organism in Eukaryota, Metazoa, Arthropoda, Insecta, Hemiptera, Pseudococcidae. The transcript has 3 exons.